CCCUUAGAUGUUCUGGGCUGCACGCGUGUUACAAUCGGGAGUACAACAAGAUUGCAAAUCCUAGUGGAUGAGUGGUUCUUCGAAAUUUUCUGAAGACUGGGAUAGUUGAUUGAAAUUAUUCAACUCGAACGAGGAAUUCCUUGUAAUUGUAAUUCAUUAUAUUGUAAUGAAUACGUCCCUGCCCUUUGUACACACCGCCCGUCGCUCCUACCGAUUGAACGAUCCGGUGAAUUAUUUGGAGUAGCUCUGGAAGUUGCAGAACUUCCUAUGUCACGAAAUUUUGCAAACCUUAUCGUUUAGAGGAAGGAAAAGUCGUAACA
This 320-nucleotide ribosomal RNA is filed under the name uncultured eukaryote. RNAcentral describes it as "partial 18S ribosomal RNA". It matches the Rfam family "Eukaryotic small subunit ribosomal RNA", at positions 1470 to 1796 of the family's 1831-position model. The record is from RNAcentral.